CCAAUCAGUUCCGGACAGUUGAAUCUUAGUCUCAAACUGUUGAUACGCAAGAACAUGCAGGACAAAUUCAAGACACAUAUUUCACGCAGGUAUUUUCUCACCGAGGCAAAAGCGUAUCCAGGAGGGCGAAGUCUCAGACCACGUCACAGAGGGGCGCGGAAGGAGCGGUGCUGACGGGCACGGACAGGACGGUGGCGAGCUUGAUGAGGUCGCCCACGAGGUCGGCCUAGGCAGGGGAAGGGGUGGAACGGCGGCGGAGUGGCUGUCGAGAAAGAGGAGGCCGAAGCUCGACGACCGACGGCGGCCGUGCUCGAUGGUGGAGGUGCCGUCAGGGCCGAGCUCGAUGAGGUCGCCCACGAGGCCGGCCUGGGCAGGGGCAGGGGAAGGGGAAGCGGCCGGCCGGCGGUACUCCUCCUCGGGAGCCUCCCAACUACGAGCGGAUCCGCGCCGCGCGGACUCCAUCUCGCCGGAGCUGCCGGCAGCAGCGUGCGGUCGCCCGACACGAGGAAGAAGAUGGCCCUUUGGUUUGGACCAAUUUUUAAAUGAAUUUAAACUGUUGAGGGGGUUAUUGUAAACUUAACUUAAAACACGGACACGCCCAUUAAUUCGGGCCGGAGGGAGUAGUA
Molecule: long non-coding RNA, 626 nt
Organism: Lolium perenne
Lineage: Eukaryota; Viridiplantae; Streptophyta; Magnoliopsida; Poales; Poaceae
Source: RefSeq, a predicted model, not a curated record